CUGCUGAAAAGGUCAACUCCUUUGUCUGGUACUUGACUGCAGACUGCUGCAGUGGAAAUGUCCUGUAGGUGCAGGCCAGGAGGGUCACCAACCCGCCCUGCUGUUAGCAAUGGAAUGUUAGAAGAGUUUCUCUUGGCUCUGUAUGCUGAGGUUUAAGUGAUGACGUAAACUGCCACCAUGGGGCAAGGGGUGGCUUCCUCCAAGGCAACACCACCUCAGCCUCCCUGUGUGUUUUCCAUUUCAACACAGAUGCUAUAGUUUGUGUUUUUUUUAUUAGAGGGUUACUUCUGUUAUUCAACCCGAAAUGCAGUGGGUCUAAUCAAAGCAAGCUUCUUCAUUCGUGGAAAGUCGGCCCCCAAGGGUAUGUGACAUUUACCCGGCAUGCAUUUACUGAAGCCUGCUGCUGGGAAUUCCUCCCUCAAAACAAAGUCGCGAGGGACCGGAGUCUUAAAAACCUGUUACUCGCUGGUACAUGAUAGUAGUUUCAUAGAAGAAAAAAGCCGCAGGACUCUCCCACUGCAGUUCUACCUGUCAAUCAAAAUGGCUUCAUCUGACUUUAACGGUGCUUGGCAGUUUUUUUCAGUUUCACAUAAAGAGGUGAAAAAAGGGAAGAAAGUAGUGGAGGUUUCAGAAGUGCACUGUUGCCAAAUAAAGGGUUAUGCUAUGAUUCCCAGAG
This is a long non-coding RNA of Cyprinus carpio carpio, 676 nucleotides long. Lineage: Eukaryota; Metazoa; Chordata; Actinopteri; Cypriniformes; Cyprinidae. The record is from Ensembl.